GGACCGGCUGGCGCUAGACCCGGCGCGAGGGCGGCGGUGGGGGAGGGGUGGCGGCUCCACGCGCCCGCGCUGCGUCAGUCGCCCGCGGCGGCGGCGGCGGCGGCGGCGGCGGCGGCAGCGGCGAAGGAGAAGGAGGUAGCCCCGCGAUCGCUAAGGAAUGCGGCGGCUCCGCAUAACCACGGGGUCAGAGGUCACGGCUCCGGCCUCCGCUUUCCCGCUCUACUGCGAGGCCAAGACCGGACUGGCGGCGGGGCGGGAAAGCGAGACGCGGCUUUCCCUUCGGCGCCCGGGUGUGUGCGUGUCUGCCGUGGGUGUGUGUGAGUGUGUGUGAAGAGUGAGGAGGGGGAGUGUGGGGUUUUUUUUUUUUUGAACAAAAACAAACCGAAAGGGCGGCUGGGAGUCGUAGUCCCGGCUGCCUCUCUGGCCUCCCCCGCUCCGGAAGAAUAUGGCUGAGUGAAACUCUUGGACCACACUUCCCAGCGUGCCCCGCGGCCCGUCUUUUCCGCCCUCCCCUCCCUUCCUCUGCCCCGCGCAGAGCUCGAAUUUCUUUGAAGUCAACACAGGUGCCACAGGACAGUAUAAGAUAAACGGGACUGAUAUCCAACCCUGCCCUGUUUGGGGAUCACAGGCUCUGGGGAAGGCCAGGCACCCUGUGGUGAGGACACUCAAGCAGCCAUAUGGAGAGGUGAGGUCUACACGGCCAGUAGCCCCACACAAGCUUUCAGAUGACUUCAGCCCUGGCUACCAUCUUGAGAGAUCAACCUCAUAAGAGAUCCAGAGCCAGAAUCACCCAAAUAUGCUGCUCCUGGGAACCCUCCACACAAGCUCUAGGGGAGCAGGGAUUUUUUCCUGUUGUGUUCAAAACAGUACUUACUGCUGAAUACAUUACUGAAUCCUCCACAGAGCUCCACAAGAAUGUGCCAGCCCUGGGAGCAGGAGCUUCAUCCUGGACCCCGAGGACUAGAGUGAGGCCCACAACAUAGUAGGUACUCAAAAAAAUGAAGACAGGAAUCUGGUGCUAAAGCCCUGGCUCUUCUCACUGCCCCAGGACAACCAAGCAAAGACGAGGGAUCCCUGCAUUGAACACACCCCUCACGGAAAUCUGCGCCCCCCGCCCCCAAGCACGCUCUGAGCACCGGAUCUGAGCCACUGAUCACUUCGAAUUGUACAUAUUUGUGAAUGACGAUACCUCCCUACCAGAAUGGGAGCUCCGGAAGCCCUGAGCCAUAUGUAGCCCAUGACAUGUGGCACAGAGUUUGAACAGCAUUAUGUAAAUCUUUUGUUCACUGGCCAAAGAAGAUAAAUUUCAAAACCAGUG
Aethalodelphis obliquidens (Pacific white-sided dolphin) is the source of this 1318-nucleotide long non-coding RNA. RefSeq lists it as uncharacterized. The transcript is spliced from 5 exons. The record is from RefSeq and is a predicted model, not a curated record. NCBI's taxonomy places the organism in Eukaryota, Metazoa, Chordata, Mammalia, Artiodactyla, Delphinidae.